RNAcentral lists this ribosomal RNA (484 nucleotides) under Clostridium combesii. Its description in RNAcentral is "bacterial SSU rRNA". It matches the Rfam family "Bacterial small subunit ribosomal RNA", at positions 1 to 499 of the family's 1533-position model. The record is from RNAcentral. Lineage: Bacteria; Bacillati; Bacillota; Clostridia; Eubacteriales; Clostridiaceae.
UUUUAAAUUUAGAGUUUGAUCCUGGCUCAGGACGAACGCUGGCGGCGUGCUUAACACAUGCAAGUCGAGCGAUGAAGCUUCCUUCGGGAAGUGGAUUAGCGGCGGACGGGUGAGUAACACGUGGGUAACCUGCCUCAAAGUGGGGGAUAGCCUUCCGAAAGGAAGAUUAAUACCGCAUAAUAUAAGAGAAUCGCAUGAUUUUCUUAUCAAAGAUUUAUUGCUUUGAGAUGGACCCGCGGCGCAUUAGCUAGUUGGUAAGGUAACGGCUUACCAAGGCAACGAUGCGUAGCCGACCUGAGAGGGUGAUCGGCCACAUUGGAACUGAGACACGGUCCAGACUCCUACGGGAGGCAGCAGUGGGGAAUAUUGCGCAAUGGGGGAAACCCUGACGCAGCAACGCCGCGUGGGUGAUGAAGGUCUUCGGAUUGUAAAGCCCUGUUUUCUAGGACGAUAAUGACGGUACUAGAGGAGGAAGCCACGGCUA